GACGAACGCUGGCGGCGUGCCUAAUACAUGCAAGUCGAACGCAGUGGGGACGGGUGCUUAACACGUGGGUAACCUCCCAUCAGAGGAGAGAACACGUGGAAACAGGUGCUAAACCGCUACUGAUGGAUGGACCCGGGGUGCAUUAGCUAGUUGGGGGGGUAACGGCUCAACAAGGCCACGAUGCAUAGCCGACCGGAGAGGGUGAUCGGCCACACUGGGACUGAGACACGGCCCAGACUCCUACGGGAGGCAGCAGUGGGGAAUCUUCGGCAAUGGACGAAAGUCUGACGGAGCAACGCCGCGUUAGUGAAGAAGGUUUUCGGAUCGUAAAACUCUGUUGUUAGAGAAGCGGUAUCUAAACAGAAAGCCACGGCUAACUACGUGCCAGCAGCCGCGGUAAUUC
Molecule: ribosomal RNA, 403 nt
Filed under: uncultured bacterium
Lineage: Bacteria
Description: partial 16S ribosomal RNA
Rfam family: Bacterial small subunit ribosomal RNA
Source: RNAcentral